ACACUCCUACGGGAGGCAGCAGUGAGGAAUAUUGGACAAUGGGUGGAAGCCUGAUCCAGCCAUCCCGCGUGCAGGAAGACGGCCCUAUGGGUUGUAAACUGCUUUUAUCUGGGGAUAAACCUACUUACGUGUAAGUAGCUGAAGGUACCAGAAGAAUAAGCACCGGCUAACUCCGUGCCAGCAGCCGCGGUAAUACGGAGGGUGCAAGCGUUAUCCGGAUUUAUUGGGUUUAAAGGGUCCGUAGGCGGACUGAUAAGUCAGUGGUGAAAUCCGACAGCUUAACUGUCGAACUGCCAUUGAUACUGUUAGUCUUGAGUAAGGUUGAAGUGGCUGGAAUAAGUAGUGUAGCGGUGAAAUGCAUAGAUAUUACUUAGAACACCAAUUGCGAAGGCAGGUCACUAAGUCUUAACUGACGCUGAUGGACGAAAGCGUGGGGAGCGAACAGGAUUAGAAACCCCUGUAGUCCC
This 467-nucleotide ribosomal RNA is filed under the name uncultured organism. RNAcentral describes it as "partial 16S ribosomal RNA". It matches the Rfam family "Bacterial small subunit ribosomal RNA", at positions 333 to 797 of the family's 1533-position model. The record is from RNAcentral.